This 86-nucleotide transfer RNA is filed under the name Erysiphe pisi. Its description in RNAcentral is "tRNA-Leu". The record is from RNAcentral. Lineage: Eukaryota; Fungi; Ascomycota; Leotiomycetes; Helotiales; Erysiphaceae.
AAGGUAAUGCUGGAAUAGGUAGACAGGAAUAGCUUAGGCCUAUUUGAUUUUUUUUAAUCUUGUCCGUUCAAUUCGGAUUUACCUUA